GAUGAACGCUGGCGGCGUGCCUAAUACAUGCAAGUCGAGCGAACAGAUGAGGAGCUUGCUCCUCUGACGUUAGCGGCGGACGGGUGAGUAACACGUGGAUAACCUACCUAUAAGACUGGGAUAACUUCGGGAAACCGGAGCUAAUACCGGAUAAUAUAUUGAACCGCAUGGUUCAAUAGUGAAAGACGGUUUUGCUGUCACUUAUAGAUGUAUCCGCGCCGCAUUAGCUAGUUGGUAAGGUAACGGCUUACCAAGGCAACGAUGCGUAGCCGACCUGAGAGGGUGAUCAGCCACACUGGAACUGAGACACGGUCCAGACUCCUACGGGAGGCAGCAGUAGGGAAUCUUCCGCAAUGGGCGAAAGCCUGACGGAGCAACGCCGCGUGAGUGAUGAAGGUCUUCGGAUCGUAAAACUCUGUUAUUAGGGAAGAACAAAUGUGUAAGUAACUAUGCACGUCUUGACGGUACCUAAACAGAAAGCCACGGCUAACUACGUG
RNAcentral lists this ribosomal RNA (497 nucleotides) under uncultured bacterium. RNAcentral's name for it is "partial 16S ribosomal RNA". It matches the Rfam family "Bacterial small subunit ribosomal RNA", at positions 28 to 507 of the family's 1533-position model. The record is from RNAcentral.